AUAUGUACGGUUCAACUUCUGCAAAAUCUGUCACCCCACUGAUUUUCAGGGUCGAUUCCACUGGUCUGACUCAAUAGAUGGCUGUCCCCUUUCCCCCUCACCACUCCAUAUACAAACUUACCCAAUGUUGGCCUGAUGCAAAACAGUAACUUUGCCCAUAGAGGAGGGCCUUUCCUUGGGUCAAGGAUAUAUGAGUAGGUGCAUUUCCAUGCUAGAACCUCCAAACAAGCUCUCAAGAUCCACUUUUAGGAGAACAGAGGGUGGUCAAUCUUCCAGGAUUCCAAACUCAUACAAAUGAGGCCCUGUGUGACUCAGUCU
This is an unclassified non-coding RNA of Mesocricetus auratus (golden hamster), 318 nucleotides long. Its record names the gene 7SK. It matches the Rfam family "7SK RNA". From Rfam's summary of the family: 7SK was discovered as an abundant small nuclear RNA in the mid-70s but a possible function has only recently been suggested. The record is from Ensembl. NCBI's taxonomy places the organism in Eukaryota, Metazoa, Chordata, Mammalia, Rodentia, Cricetidae.